AUUGUUGAAUAAUCUCUCAACCAUGUGAAAAGGUGCAGCCACAAUUUUGUGUUCAAAUUGGUAGGUCACCAACCCCAUCAACCAUGUGAAAAGGUGCUAGCCGACUUAUGUGUUCAAAUUGGUAAGUCACCAACCUCAUCAACCAUGUGAAAAGGUGCUGGCCGACUUAUGUGUUCAAAUUGGUAGGUCACCAACCCCACCAACCAUGUUUCUUUCUUUGCCUAUAUAAAGGCCAUUGGGGAGAGCAAGCUAAAUGGAACACACACCAACACAAAAACAAUUCUUUUGUGUGUUAUAUCCGAGAGAGAAUUUUGAGAGUUACUCACAAAUUGGUGAGUGGUAGUUAGUGUCCAAAAAUUAGAGUGUAUAUUAUAUAAGAGUGUUUGUGAGGUUUCUUUGGGUACAAUAUUAGUCCCAAAGGGUGUUCUUGUAUCGUCUCUAUUUUUGGUGUUUCUCAAGUUGGUCACUUGAGAUUUUGGUGUACCGUUAUUUUUAUAGUGGAUAUUUCUCGGAGUUUGGCCCGUGAUUUUUCCCUCUAAAUUUGGGAGGGUUUUCCACGUAAAUUUUGGUGUUCCGAUUGCUUGUAUUAUUUUUCAUAUUGUUUAACGAUCGAGUAAAGUGAGAAUUAAUAUUUUAUUCCCAACAUUAUCUUGUUUCAAUAAGAAAAUUAUAGUUAUGUUAAAGUUGCAGGAAAUUUAAUUUUCUUUUUUCACUUUAUGAGACAUGUCACACCUGAGUAGCAUGUGCCAUUGGCCUUCUAUGACGAAAUGGUCUUAAUGGAGAUUUUAGGCAUGAAUUUAGUAAAUUAAAGAGUCUAAAGAAAGUUGUCAAAGAAUAAGUGUGUAAAAAGAGUUUCUAUACAAGUUGGAAGGUAAAGUAUGCAUUAAGUCGGAAAAAUUAUAUAGAAGCAACUACUAUCUCCAAUACCUCUUUGUCACAUGUAUAAUACUUCUGUUUAUAGACAAAUUUAUAGAUUUGAAGUAAGUGGAUGCAUAUCAAGAUUAAUUAAUA
RNAcentral lists this long non-coding RNA (1011 nucleotides) under Nicotiana benthamiana. RNAcentral describes it as "long non-coding RNA (NBEN_LNC023932)". The record is from RNAcentral. Lineage: Eukaryota; Viridiplantae; Streptophyta; Magnoliopsida; Solanales; Solanaceae.